AGAAAUGGUGCACCAUCUGUGAUAAAUAGAUGUCCGUGCAGUGAUGGAAGAUAUUCACCCAUAAGCAAAGAUAUAACAUACCACCCAAAAAUAUUUGCAAAGAAGACAUGAGCUAUAUCCUCAGGAUGAAAGAAACGAAUACGCAAUACGAAAUAAAAGUAUGACAUGGAAGCAAGCAAUAGUUACAAAAGUAAUAUUUUAUUAAUAUUUUCAAAAAUUACAAAUUAUAAAAGCAUUUACAAAGAGGCAUUGUCUUUAUCCUCAGAUAGUGAAUGCUCCGACUAGAAAGCUUAAAGACUUGACUCCUCACCUACAAGCCUAUUUUCCUCUCCUUCUUCCAAACCAUCCAGAGUAGACGCAUGCCUCCAAGUUUCACUUCAAAAGGGUUGCUCCGGGAGGACUUCCCAAAGAAAACAAAAUGCCUCAUCUCCUGGCGAAAGUAAUGACAAUUGUCUUCAAAUGGGUAGUUGAUGUAAAAAUCAAGCCGACAGCCACACCUAAUCAGAUCGAAAAAAGGCCUAAAAUUCAUUCCAUGAGUGUAAAUGGGACCAAAUGCCACUUGCAUGGCUAGCAUGACCCGAUCUACGAUAAUAGUCAGAACUCAGAACAGUUACUUGAGCAUCCUCCAAUCUUUUUCGGUCUUUCUCCUAGGCCACACAUAUAUGUUUUAACUGAAGGCUUAGGCCUUUUACUUCGAUGUCUCGGUCCAUCAAAGCUCUUCGUAGCCUUUUCUUAUCUUCUAGCAACUAAGCUUGUCAUUUUUUUGCUAGUUCAGCACAUAACCGAAGUUGGGCAU
RNAcentral lists this long non-coding RNA (796 nucleotides) under Gossypium barbadense (sea-island cotton). RNAcentral's name for it is "long non-coding RNA (GBAR_LNC013333)". Lineage: Eukaryota; Viridiplantae; Streptophyta; Magnoliopsida; Malvales; Malvaceae. The record is from RNAcentral.